Molecule: ribosomal RNA, 253 nt
Filed under: uncultured bacterium
Lineage: Bacteria
Description: partial 16S ribosomal RNA
Rfam family: Bacterial small subunit ribosomal RNA
Source: RNAcentral
UACGUAGGGUGCGAGCGUUAAUCGGAAUUACUGGGCGUAAAGCGUGCGCAGGCGGUUUUGUAAGCCAGAUGUGAAAUCCCCGGGCUUAACCUGGGAAUGGCAUUUGGGACUGCAAGGCUUGAGUGCGGCAGAGGAGACUGGAAUUCCCGGUGUAGCAGUGAAAUGCGUAGAUAUCAGGAGGAACACCGAUGGCGAAGGCAGGUCUCUGGGCCGAUAUUGACGCUGAGGAGCGAAAGCGUGGGGAGCGAACAGG